This is a long non-coding RNA of Dama dama (fallow deer), 618 nucleotides long. RefSeq lists it as uncharacterized. The transcript is spliced from 3 exons. Lineage: Eukaryota; Metazoa; Chordata; Mammalia; Artiodactyla; Cervidae. The record is from RefSeq and is a predicted model, not a curated record.
GACAAAGAGAGAGAGCAUGAGAGUGUGUCCAUGUGUCCGUGGAACUGGUGCUAGACUAAAACAAGAACCAAUGUUGCAGCCACAAAACUGUGGCUUUCUUUGCAGGUUCCUCAAUUUAACAUCUUAGCUUUUCCUUCCGCCAGAAAAAACAACCGACCGUACUGGAGAAACAAGCCUCCUUACGACUUAAAGUGGGGCUGAGGCAGGCGUGGCUCUGAAGUUGAGCAAAACUCAUUUUAACUCAAGAGGCCUUUGUGCUUUUGGUAACAAGGAGAAGUUGACAAGAGAAUUUUCUGAGAAGAAUGCAAAGUGAAUAAGGAAACAUCAAUGAUGCCUGCUCCUGUGUUCUUGGUCAUCAAAUAUGCUUAUGAUCAGAUCUCUUCAGUCAGCUUCAGAACUAAAAACCCAUCGCAAUCUACAUCUGGGGAAAAGAUGCUGGUGUGGAAGAGAGGACAUGGAAUACACAGAUGCUUCCAGGGAGGCAGGAUGGAGCCUGAAAUCCUGGCUUCUCAGAGCCCCUCCCCACCUCCAACUGCCCAGUGACCUUGGGCCACUUCCUUCAACAACUAAGCCCACUCCUCAGCUCUAAAGGUAGUUGGGUGUGAGGGUGGGGGAGAA